RNAcentral lists this ribosomal RNA (349 nucleotides) under uncultured bacterium. RNAcentral's name for it is "bacterial SSU rRNA". It matches the Rfam family "Bacterial small subunit ribosomal RNA", at positions 71 to 422 of the family's 1533-position model. The record is from RNAcentral.
CAGGCGUAGCAAUACGUGCUGACGAGCGGCGAACGGGUGCGUAAUACAUGGGAAUCUGCCCUUUGGUGGGGAAUAACCCGGCGAAAGCCGGGCUAAUGCCGCAUAAGAUCUUCGGAUGAAAGCGGGGGAUCGUAAGACCUCGCGCCGAUGGAUGAGCCCAUGUCGGAUUAGCUAGUUGGUGAGGUAACGGCUCACCAAGGCGACGAUCCGUAGCUGGUCUGAGAGGACGGCCAGCCACACUGGGACUGAGACACGGCCCAGACUCCUACGGGAGGCAGCAGUGGGGAAUAUUGGACAAUGGGGGCAACCCUGAUCCAGCAAUGCCGCGUGCGUGAAGAAGGCCUGCGGG